This is a non-coding RNA of Triticum aestivum (bread wheat), 135 nucleotides long. The record is from Rfam. NCBI's taxonomy places the organism in Eukaryota, Viridiplantae, Streptophyta, Magnoliopsida, Poales, Poaceae.
UAAGUACAACCCCCGUCCCAAAUUACUUGUCUUAGAUUUGUCUAGAUACGAAUGUAUCUAACACUAAAACGUUUCUAGAUACAUCCGUAUCAAGAUAAAUCUAAGACAAGUAAUUCGGAACGGAGGGAGUACUUC